This 73-nucleotide transfer RNA is filed under the name Candidatus Nomurabacteria bacterium RIFCSPLOWO2_01_FULL_39_18. Its description in RNAcentral is "tRNA-Thr". It matches the Rfam family "tRNA". Rfam says of the family: Transfer RNA (tRNA) molecules are approximately 80 nucleotides in length. Their secondary structure includes four short double-helical elements and three loops (D, anti-codon, and T loops). Further hydrogen bonds mediate the characteristic L-shaped molecular structure. tRNAs have two regions of fundamental functional importance: the anti-codon, which is responsible for specific mRNA codon recognition, and the 3' end, to which the tRNAs corresponding amino acid is attached (by aminoacyl-tRNA synthetases). tRNAs cope with the degeneracy of the genetic code in two manners: having more than one tRNA (with a specific anti-codon) for a particular amino acid; and 'wobble' base-pairing, i.e. permitting non-standard base-pairing at the 3rd anti-codon position. Lineage: Bacteria; Candidatus Nomuraibacteriota. RNAcentral also lists the same sequence under 1 other name. The record is from RNAcentral.
GCCGUUGUAGCUCAGUUGGUAGAGCACGUCAUUGGUAAUGACGAGGUCAAGAGUUCAAUCCUCUUCAACGGCU